GAUGAACGCUGGCGGCGUGCCUAAUACAUGCAAGUCGAGCGAACAGACGAGGAGCUUGCUCCUCUGACGUUAGCGGCGGACGGGUGAGUAACACGUGGAUAACCUACCUAUAAUACUGGGAUAACUUCGUGAAACCGGAGCUAAUACCGGAUAAUAUAUUGAACCGCAUGGUUCAAUAGUUAAAGACGGUUUUGCUGUCACUUUUAGAUGGAUCCGCGCCGCAUUAUCUAGUUGGUAAGGUAACGGCUUACCAAGGCGACGAUGCGUAGCCGACCGGAGAGGAGGAGCGGCAACACGGGAACUGAGACACGGGGCAGACGCCGACGGGAGGAAGCAGGGGGGAAUAGUGAGCAAGGGGCGCAAGCCUGAACGAGCAAUGACGCGUGGGUGAAGAAGGACUUCGGGUCGUAAAGCCCUGUUGUGGGGAAAGAAAAGAAACAGGGGAAGAAGACGCGGAAGUGACGGUACCAAAAAAAAAAGCACCGGCUAACUACGUG
RNAcentral lists this ribosomal RNA (497 nucleotides) under uncultured bacterium. RNAcentral's name for it is "partial 16S ribosomal RNA". It matches the Rfam family "Bacterial small subunit ribosomal RNA", at positions 28 to 507 of the family's 1533-position model. The record is from RNAcentral.